UUAUUUAUUUAUUUAUUUUCAAAAGGAAAACAUAGAAGAGAGAUUUUGAUGCAGAUUUGAAGUGAGGCACUGCUGAUCACCCAAAAUAUGCAAAAGAGAAAAUAGGUGCUCAACCAAGAAUCUGGGCAGGCUGAUUAACCCUAAAAUUCACCUAUUAGUUUAAAAUCCUUCAGAUGUUAACCAUCUGUAGUACAUAAAUUCUUGGUUUUGAUUCUCUGGCUGUCUGUUACAUGGUGAAAUGUGCAUGUUGUUUCAUGGGCUUCUUAAGUAUAGGACUACAUGAAACAUGUAGUGAGUGAAUAGUUAUGUCAACAUAUCUAAUUUAUAUAAAAUAAGUAUUGAAUGCUGACACUAGCAGGAUGUAACAUCAGAAAUAUAGUAUGGUUCCUGGUAGAUAUGGUUACAAUCAUAUAAAGAGAUUGAGAUUGGGUACUUACAUCAACAUGUAUGAUUUAGAUGCUCAAAUUUUGCAGGUAGGGUCAUCCCUGAGAGUG
RNAcentral lists this unclassified non-coding RNA (494 nucleotides) under Hevea brasiliensis (rubber tree). The record is from RNAcentral. Lineage: Eukaryota; Viridiplantae; Streptophyta; Magnoliopsida; Malpighiales; Euphorbiaceae.